AUUGAACGCUAGCGGCAUGCUUAACACAUGCAAGUCGAGCGGCAGCGCGGGGAAACCUGGCGGCGAGCGGCGGACGGGUGAGUAAUACGUAGGAAUCUGCCUUGUAAUGGGGGACAACCCGGGGAAACUCGGGCUAAUACCGCAUAAUCUCUAAGGAGGAAAGUAGGGGACCUUCGGGCCUUACGUUAUAAGAUGAGACUGCGUCGGAUUAGCUAGUUGGUGGGGUAAAGGCCUACCAAGGCGACGAUCCGUAGCUGGUCUGAGAGGACGAUCAGCCACACUGGGACUGAGACACGGCCCAGACUCCUACGGGAGGCAGCAGUGGGGAAUAUUGGACAAUGGGGGAAACCCUGAUCCAGCAAUGCCGCGUGUGUGAAGAAGGCCUUCGGGUUGUAAAGCACUUUCAGUGGGGAAGAACUAAUUCAAGGCUAAUAACCUUGAGUCUUGACAUUACCUACAGAAGAAGCACCGGCAAACUCUGUGCCAGCCGCCGCCGUAA
RNAcentral lists this ribosomal RNA (499 nucleotides) under uncultured bacterium. Its description in RNAcentral is "partial 16S ribosomal RNA". It matches the Rfam family "Bacterial small subunit ribosomal RNA", at positions 30 to 523 of the family's 1533-position model. The record is from RNAcentral.